Molecule: unclassified non-coding RNA, 257 nt
Filed under: Hevea brasiliensis (rubber tree)
Lineage: Eukaryota; Viridiplantae; Streptophyta; Magnoliopsida; Malpighiales; Euphorbiaceae
Source: RNAcentral
GAUUUAUCGCUUAUCAAGAAUAGCAGUGACAGACCAUGAUUACAUGAAAAUUCAAUGACCGAAUGUUUAAUGUAUUAUUAUUUAUCAUCCUCCACCAGGGAGGCAUUAUAUCAUCUGCUGGAUUUUACUUGACGAUUCGUAUUUUUUAGCUCUUUAAGCUCAUGUGCAAUGACGGAGCGAAGGGCUAGGCCAUAUCCUCCUAACUUUAUGAAAAUUAUAGUUUUAGUAUAGUGUUAUAGAUUUAAAAUUAAAAUGGC